AAACCGUUCGGGGGUAAACGGACAGAGCCCGUGAAUCCGAGCAACGGAAUUCAGAUUCGAAGGCGUUCGCGCGUCGUCGGAUCGAUGUUUCCGUUGCAGUGUUUUUUCGGACGUCGCGACCCGUUCGGUGUCGGUCUGAGGAGACGUGUUAAAGUUCGUUGGCGUGUGUUCGAAUCGUUUCGGCGGUUAGGCGCGCGUCUGCGAGUCGCGUUUUUUUUCUGGCCGACUCGCCGGACGGUAAGUGUAGCGGUGACCACGGCGACCUAGCGUCGUCGUUUUGGUACCGGUCUGCGACGAAUCUUCGGGCCUCUUUCCGA
RNAcentral lists this ribosomal RNA (317 nucleotides) under Saccharicoccus sacchari. RNAcentral's name for it is "partial 28S large subunit ribosomal RNA". Lineage: Eukaryota; Metazoa; Arthropoda; Insecta; Hemiptera; Pseudococcidae. The record is from RNAcentral.